CGGUGAAGCCCAGCUUGCUGGGUGGAUCAGUGGCGAACGGGUGAGUAACACGUGAGCAAUCUGCCCCUGACUCUGGGAUAAGCGCUGGAAACGGCGUCUAAUACUGGAUACGAGCUUCCACCGCAUGGUGAGUUGUUGGAAAGAUUUUUCGGUCAGGGAUGAGCUCGCGGCCUAUCAGCUUGUUGGUGAGGUAAUGGCUCACCAAGGCGUCGACGGGUAGCCGGCCUGAGAGGGUGACCGGCCACACUGGGACUGAGACACGGCCCAGACUCCUACGGGAGGCAGCAGUGGGGAAUAUUGCACAAUGGGCGCAAGCCUGAUGCAGCAACGCCGCGUGAGGGACGACGGCCUUCGGGUUGUAAACCUCUUUUAGCAGGGAAGAAGCGAAAGUGACGGUACCUGCAGAAAAAGCGCCGGCUAACUACGUGCCAGCAGCCGCGGUAAUACGUAGGGCGCAAGCGUUAUCCGGAAUUAUUGGGCGUAAAGAGCUCGUAGGCGGUUUGUCGCGUCUGCUGUGAAAUCCCGAGGCUCAACCUCGGGUCUGCAGUGGGUACGGGCAGACUAGAGUGCGGUAGGGGAGAUUGGAAUUCCUGGUGUAGCGGUGGAAUGCGCAGAUAUCAGGAGGAACACCGAUGGCGAAGGCAGAUCUCUGGGCCGUAACUGACGCUGAGGAGCGAAAGGGUGGGGAGCAAACAGGCUUAGAUACCCUGGUAGUCCACCCCGUAAACGUUGGGAACUAGUUGUGGGGUCCAUUCCACGGAUUCCGUGACGCAGCUAACGCAUUAAGUUCCCCGCCUGGGGAGUACGGCCGCAAGGCUAAAACUCAAAGGAAUUGACGGGGACCCGCACAAGCGGCGGAGCAUGCGGAUUAAUUCGAUGCAACGCGAAGAACCUUACCAAGGCUUGACAUAUACGAGAACGGGCCAGAAAUGGUCAACUCUUUGGACACUCGUAAACAGGUGGUGCAUGGUUGUCGUCAGCUCGUGUCGUGAGAUGUUGGGUUAAGUCCCGCAACGAGCGCAACCCUCGUUCUAUGUUGCCAGCACGUAAUGGUGGGAACUCAUGGGAUACUGCCGGGGUCAAYUCGGAGGAAGGUGGGGAUGACGUCAAAUCAUCAUGCCCCUUAUGUCUUGGGCUUCAGCAUGCUACAAUGGCCGGUACAAGGGCUGCAAUACCGUAAGGWGGAACGAAUCCCAAAAGCCGGUCCNNNUU
This 1212-nucleotide ribosomal RNA is filed under the name Microbacterium sp. RNAcentral describes it as "bacterial SSU rRNA". It matches the Rfam family "Bacterial small subunit ribosomal RNA", at positions 67 to 1293 of the family's 1533-position model. The record is from RNAcentral. Lineage: Bacteria; Bacillati; Actinomycetota; Actinomycetes; Micrococcales; Microbacteriaceae.